UAGGGAAUCUUCCGCAAUGGACGCAAGUCUGACGGAGCAACGCCGCGUGAGUGAAGAAGGAUUUCGGUUCGUAAAACUCUGUUGUUAGAGAAGAACAGCGCAUAGAGUAACUGUUAUGCGUGUGACGGUAUCUAACCAGAAAGCCACGGCUAACUACGUGCCAGCAGCCGCGGUAAUACGUAGGUGGCAAGCGUUGUCCGGAUUUAUUGGGCGUAAAGCGAGCGCAGGCGGUCAAUUAAGUCUGAUGUGAAAGCCCCCGGCUCAACCGGGGAGGGUCAUUGGAAACUGGUUGACUUGAGUGCAGAAGAGGAGAGUGGAAUUCCAUGUGUAGCGGUGAAAUGCGUAGAUAUAUGGAGGAACACCAGUGGCGAAGGCGACUCUCUGGUCUGUAACUGACGCUGAGGUUCGAAGGCGUGGGUAGCAAACAGG
RNAcentral lists this ribosomal RNA (429 nucleotides) under Bacteroidota bacterium. RNAcentral's name for it is "Bacteroidetes bacterium partial 16S ribosomal RNA". It matches the Rfam family "Bacterial small subunit ribosomal RNA", at positions 355 to 776 of the family's 1533-position model. The record is from RNAcentral. Lineage: Bacteria; Pseudomonadati; Bacteroidota.